CAUGGAGGCAGCUCCUGAUCAAAGAGCAUUGUACUGGUGAGGCACUCAUUCUCCCACAUAUGGGCUGACCCCCUGGUGCUGAGUGAGUGAGGUGAGCCUGGUCAGAAUGGGGUUGGGGGCACCAAGAAAGAGAUAGCUCAAUGUAGGGCCCUUGUGUCCAUGCAAGUUUCAUUCACAUCCCCAAAGCAGUGUCAAGCCCCUGAAGCCACAUCAACUCUCCAAUACUAAGCCCCUAGGUUCUUUGAGCAAAGUAGUUGACUAAGAACCAAGAAGAAGAUGAAGAAUAAACAUUAACAAUGGCUGAAAAUUGAGGUUUUAGGUUUUUUACGAAAUACAAAAAUGCCAAUCACAUUUGUAUCUGCUGGGGUUUUAUCAGAAAUCUUCCAGGGGAACUGUGAUGGUUAAUAUUGAGUGUCAACUUGAUUGGAUUGAAGGAUGCAAAGUAUUGUUCCUGAGUGUGUUUGUGAGGGUGUUGCCAAAGGAGGUAACAUUUGAGUCAGUGCACUGGGAGAGGCUAACCUACCCUCAAUCUGGUUGGGCACCAUCUAAUCAGCUGCCAGUGUGGCUAGAAUAAAAGCUGGCCGAAGUUGGAAAAUAAGAUAAGAACACGUGUUGAGUCUGCCGGCCUUCACUUUUCCCCUGUGCUGGAUGCCUUCUGCCCUUGAAUAUCAGACUCCAAGUUCUUCAGCUUUUGGACUCUUGGACUUACACCAGUGUUUUGCCAGGGGCUCUUAGAUCUUCGGCCACAGACUGAAGGCUGCACUGUCAGCUUCCCUACUUUUGAGGUUUUUGGACUCAGACUGGCUUCCUUGCUGCUCAGCUUGCAGACGGCCUAUUGUGGGACUUCACCUUGUGAUCAUGAAGUAGAAGUGAUUAUCCACAUUCCAUAGAAGAAGAAGCGGAGCUCAGAAUGGUCUCAUCUCCAGGCAGCUGUCCCUCUUCUGGAUCUCUGGCAACUCCAGUUCACAGCACCCUUUCUCCUCCUAGCCUAGGAUCCAGUGCCUUUAGCAGCCCAGUCAUGCGACUCUCUCACACCAGCCUGGCACCUGGGUGUCGCCCGAAAGCCUCCUCAGAGCUGUCUUUGAUGAGCACCACCUGCUGCCUGUCAGUCCAACUGCGGUGGAGAUGGUUGGGGUCAAAUCCCCAUUGUCAAGGUGAUAGGAGAGACCUCAGUGUGCUUUGUGGAUGCAGAGGAUGAAAAUCAGCAAAACUGAAUGAGCUGUGUGCUGUUCUUAGAGGAAGCACUAGGUAAACUAUUCCAGUACAAUUCUGUUUAUUCUUUUCUGUGCAAACCCAAAUUUAGUGUACCCAAUACACAUGCAUAUGAAUACAUACCACAUAGAAAUGCACAGACAUCACACACACCCACAACACUCAGACACAGGGAUGUGAGUGUAUGCAUGAACACAUACUCACACUCACACACCAUUGUAAGGCUUGUCCUCAUCCUAAGAGUUUAACGUAAUAGCUUUUUUAAAAAAAAUUGAAUAAAUGAAUGAAUGAAAUCAUUAUUUUAUCUGUAAUCAUUUAACAGAGGAUGGAGAAUAAUAGCCACCCACUCUCAACCAUCCCAGUUUUAAACAUUUAUUAAUAUUGGGGUUUAUUUUUAAAAGAAAUUCAAAAACUUAGGGUAAAAUGUUCCCCCAAAACUUUUACUGUUGCCUGGGUUUAUUAUUUUUCAGAAUUCAAUAAAUUUUUCAGAAUUGUUUUUCCUUUAAAGAGUGGAAACUUCUGAAGAAAAUAGCCAUGUUACCAAUGUCGUCACGCUGAAGCCACAGAGUCAAGUUAGUGGCAAUGGCCGUGGACUGGGAGCCAAUUGAACUGGGUUUCAAUCCUGCCUUUUUUUUUAUUAUUUUUAAAUGCAACUGUAUGCAAAUUGCUUCUUCUCCCUGAGUCUCCAUUUUCUCAUUUAUAAUUUGGGGAGCGGGGUAGAGAGUCUUUACUUAAACAUAGGGCAUUACCCCUCCAUACAUCCAUAUUUAUGUGCCCUCUUAAGAUCCUUCUAAGAUAUUUUUAAAAACAAAGGCUAAGCUCUUUAACCAUAAGAACCCACUGUGGAUGCAGGACAUCAAUACAUUUCCAGGGGGGAAGACAUUGGGUCAUUGGGUAGGUGCUGACUGAUCAAACAAGGUGGAGGAAGCCACAGGAGACAGUAACAAAGAAAUAAAUACAGCCAUGCACCUUACUGAAUCUUGGAGAGACUUGGGAUUCUGGAACACCAGUUAUAAUUAAGCAUCGGAGCAAGCCACAGAUUGAUUCUGGACUGGCAUGAUUUUGCCCCACCCUCAGGGGACAUUUGUCAAUGUUUGGAGACAUCUUGAGUAUCAUGACUGGGAGGUGCUCCUGACACCUGGGGGUUAGAAGCCAGAGAUGCUGCUAAACAUCCUACUAUGCACAGGGCAGCCCCCUUGACAAAGAGUCAUACAGCUCAAAAUUGUCAAAAAUCUUAAAGUUAAGAAACUCCACUCUACACCCAAGAGUUGAUCUCCCACUCUGAAACCUUCUCCAUAUUUGAAGACUAACAGAUAUCCAUCUACCUCACUGUUAUGGGCUGAAUUUUUCUCCUCAAAAUUUAUAUGUUGAAGACCUAAUCCCCAGUACCUCAGAAUGUGACUGCAUUUAGAGAUGGGGCCAUUAAAGAAGUAACUAAGUUAAAAUGAGGCCUUUAGAGUAAGCCCUUAUCUGAUCUGACUCAUGUCCUUAUAAGAAGAGGAGAUUAGGACACACAGAGAGACACCAGCGAUGCACAUGCACAGAGAAAAGUCGUAUAAGGACACAGAGAGAAGGCAGCCAUCCGCAAACCAUGGAGGAAGGCCUCAAAAGAAAUCAACUCUGCCAACACCUUGAUCUUAGACUUCCAGCCUCCAGAACUGUGAGAAAAUGAAUUUCUGUUGUUUAAGCCAUCCAGUCUGUAAUACUUUAUUAUAACAGCCCAAGAAAACUAAUACACCCACUAUGCAAGUAAUGAGAGGGUUCUUCUCCAAAGAAAUGGGAUGAACACAGAGAAAAGACCUCCAAUCUGGUAAUUAUGGGUCCCCAGAAUUAUUGCCCACUCCCCUGCAUCACAUUAAAGGGAACUGCCAACCUACAAUCACUGUUCCCCACCCACCCACCCCCACCUCACACAUACACAACACACAGCUCAAGAUCAGCUUAUUGUCUGGCUCUUAAAUGUGAUGUAACACCCAAAGAUCUCUGAGGAACAUCUACAACCCAAAAGAGAGAAACCAAGAUUAACAAGCAGCAUAUGCAACGUUGGAAAGAAGAGAAAUAAUUUGGAAACACAAUUUAACCUUUAAAAACUCUUUAAUAAAUAUUCUUAGAAAGAGUAGUAAAAAAAAAUAUUGCAUCAACAAAGUACAACUAGCUAACAAGGAAAAACUAUUGAAAAAUAAAUAUAUGAGCCCGAAAUUCUAAUAGUAGGUAAAAUAUAAUAAAACCAAUGUUGUAGAACAAAGGCAAGAAGAUGUAAGAAAAUGAGAAAGGUAAGAUGUGUUGAGGAUCAGUCCAAGAGGCCCCACAUCUGAUCAAUAGGAGUGACAAAAAGAGAAAAACAAAAAGAAAGAAAUCAAAGAAUUAUCGCAAAGGAUUGUCCCAGAGUCAAAGGACAUGAGUAUCCAAAUUAAGAAGCCAAUCAAGUACCCAAGUGCUCAAGUUGACAACUCACAUAUGUGCAUACACAUGCAGACAUACACACACACAUCUAGACCCAUCACUAUAAAACUUCAAUACAUCCAUAAUAGAAGAUACUGAGAAG
RNAcentral lists this long non-coding RNA (3757 nucleotides) under Homo sapiens (human). RNAcentral's name for it is "HSALNT0138085". Lineage: Eukaryota; Metazoa; Chordata; Mammalia; Primates; Hominidae. The record is from RNAcentral.